CCUUGGACUCCCAAAGUGCUGGGAUUACACGCAUAAGCCACUGUUCCUGGCCCAAUGUCAUUAUUUACAUUAUUACGACAAUGUAAAUAUUUUUCUCUAUACCACCUAGUCCUUUGCUAAUAAGGCAUUCUUUUUUUUCUUUUUUUUUUUUUUUUUGAGACAGAGUCUCGCUCUGUCGCCUAGGCUGGAGUGCAGUGGCACAAUCUUGGCUCACUGCAACCUCCACGUCUCAGGUUUGAGCAAUUCACUUGCCUCAGCCUCCCAAGUAGCGAGGAUUACAGGUGCCUACCACAAUGCCUGGCUAAUUUUUGUAUUUUUAAUAGAGACGAGGUUUUGCCAUGUUGUCCAGGCUGGUCUUGAACUCCCGACCUCAGGUGAUCCGCCCACCUUGGCCUCCCGAAGUGCUGGGAUUACAGGCGUGAGCCACCAUGCCUGACCUCACAGCACAUUAUUAAGCUCUGUGGUGAAUAAUAUUUAUAUAGUCACAAUUCUGUAAACACUGUUCAUUUUCUACAAAUUGUGGCAAACCCAAACCUCAAGAAUGGACAGGGCUAGGGUGUAAAAGAGCUAAGUCCUUGCCAGGUUUACCAGGAAGGCAACAGACAGUGUCUAAAACUAUGAGACAGCUGGGCGCGGUGGCUCACGCCUGUAAUCCCAGCACUUUGGGAGGCCGAGGCGGGUGGAUCACGUGAGGUCAAGAGUUCGAGACCAGCCUGGACAACAUGGC
RNAcentral lists this long non-coding RNA (727 nucleotides) under Homo sapiens (human). Its description in RNAcentral is "HSALNT0390190". Lineage: Eukaryota; Metazoa; Chordata; Mammalia; Primates; Hominidae. The record is from RNAcentral.